Molecule: ribosomal RNA, 206 nt
Filed under: uncultured bacterium
Lineage: Bacteria
Description: partial 16S ribosomal RNA
Rfam family: Bacterial small subunit ribosomal RNA
Source: RNAcentral
UACGUAGGGCGCAAGCGUUGUCCGGAAUUAUUGGGCGUAAAGAGCUCGUAGGCGGUCUGUCGCGUCGGCUGUGAAAACCCGGAGCUCAACUCCGGGCCUGCAGUCGAUACGGGCAGACUGGAGUUCGGCAGGGGAGACUGGAAUUCCUGGUGUAGCGGUGAAAUGCGCAGAUAUCGGGAGGAACACCGGUGGCGAAGGCGGUUCUC